This 235-nucleotide ribosomal RNA is filed under the name uncultured bacterium. Its description in RNAcentral is "partial 16S ribosomal RNA". It matches the Rfam family "Bacterial small subunit ribosomal RNA", at positions 94 to 334 of the family's 1533-position model. The record is from RNAcentral.
ACCGGCGCACGGGUGCGUAACACGUAUAGAAUCUACCUAUAAUAGGGGAGUAGCUUGGAACGAGAUAAUACCGCAUAAGACCCCGACUCGGCAUCGAGUUGAGGUAAAAGCUUUGGCGAUUAUAGAUGAGUAUGCGUCCAAUUAGUUAGUUGGGGAGGUAACGGCUCACCAAGACGAUGAUUGGUAGGGGCUCUGAGAGGAGAAUCCCCCACACCGGCACUGAGAUACGGGCCAG